CAGGAUGUCAUGAUAAAGUUAAGAAAGAUGAAAGUAGUAGGUAAAACGUUUCUACAAGUUAGAAUUACAUUUAACAUACCACAAAAAAUGUGUCUGGGCCUGGUAUAUAUAUAGUAUAUGUUACUAGCAAAAAUUAUAUGGCAUAAAGCGGGUAUCCGAGGCUAAGUUUUACUACUCUUAACUAAUUCCAAGUAAUUUUUAGGCUACCUACCCUUUUACCAAUGAUAUUCAUGCAGUUAUCGAAUAUGUAGUGCAGGAUGGGCAAGUUAUGCGGAAUGUCUCGUGUAGAUCAGAUGAAUGAGGGGAACAAGCAGAGUUGUCUGAAAUCAAACGGAGUUGAGAAAAGAGAAAAGGUAGUACUCAAAAGUCACGAGAAGAAUAUAUAUUUCUUAUUGAUAGUAAUAUAAUAUACUACAUUUUUUUUUUAAAUUUAUCAUUUCAUGCAUCAUAUAUACAACCACUAUUAAAUUAAAAAUUAAUUUUUUUAACAUAUAAAGAUCCAUGAAAUAGAAUAUAUAAAUAUAUAUGUCCUUAAUAUUUUAAAUUUUUUGCAUAUGAAAGUAUUUUUGUGGAAAAGGUGGGGAGUAAUGUACGUAGGAGUCAUAUUCAAAUGAGGAAUUAAGCUAUAUAUAUAAUUUUUUCUUUAAUUUUAUUGAUGUAGGGACAAGACCAUCUACUAGCUAGGGUGCUGAACGCAACUAUGUAUACAUGCCUGCCUCACAAAAUUCCAUACUUUGUUGAUAAAAGUUGUUUAAAUCCAGUGAUAAAACAAAUGGGAAAGCUACAAAUUCUUUCAUUAUCAUCCACAUGCAUGGCCAGUGGGCAUAGAAAAUGAGAGAUCACAUCACUUGAAGUAAAUUAAUAUGUAGAAUUAAAACCAUGGAUCCAAAUACAACUAGCACUACCCAAAAAAAUAAAAAAUAAAAGAAGGCCCCAAAGACCUUUUCGAUGGUUAGGCCAAUUUUAAUUAAGCCAUCAAAGAGGGACUUUUCUCCCCCCGGGUUAAAAAAAGAGAGUAAACUCUCAAUUAAAAGGAUAAUAAAAAAUAAAAAUGAAUACACGCGUGUAACCAGCAGUACACUCGUGUAAGUACAUCACUCAAAAGAGUCCGGUAUAUGGUUAGGACCGGAAGAGGCAGUUCCCGCCCCAAAAAAAAACACCCACGUACACACGUGUGGAAACACACCUCAAAGUAGCAUGUACAUACACACAAUCACAAUAGGGAGCCAUCUUACUCUCUUCUUCUUUUCUCCAUGGAGCGAACCUUCCUCUUUUUUUCUUCAUUAAUAAAUAUUCUCGUAGAGGUAGCUAGGGAGAAGUUGAAGCAAUAAUGGUGGGCAUGCAAGAUGGGGAGCUUCACUUGGUAUCUCACAUGAACUGCUCAAGCUUCAAAGCUUUUUGGUUUGGUCAGUUCCAAUAUAUAUUAUGCCGACCCCAUUGAUUUAAUUUCCAGCUCUACCUAAUUCUUUUCUUUCCCCCAACCCUAUGCAUGUCAUUGGUCCCACCAUCUACAUCUCUCAUCCCCUUUCACUCAAAUGUAGUGUAUUGAUUCAAUAAUCAAUGCUACCUUUGAAUUCAAUCACCUCCUAGGCCACUUCUUUCUUAAUUUCACACUCCAUGAUCACUCCACUAGUAUAGUUGUAUUAAAUAAUCAUAUCAAUCAAAAAACAAUUAAUCACACCAAAAAACCAUGUACCAAAAACUCCCUUCCCUUGGGAAUCUGCAAAGCCAAAAGCCAUAUAUGUCAACGAAUGGCACUGCACACCAAAUUUUUUUAAUAAAUCUCCAAACCCCAUCGCUCCUCUUAUAUAUAAUAAUCUGCAUCCAUCACCCGUGUCAAAUUAUUUUCUUUUCUUCUUUUUUUUAAUCUCAAGGCCCCCACCCCCACCCCCAAUUAUGUAUAGAGAGAGGAUUAGUAGACCUCAUGGACCACCAUUGUCAUCUUCUGUCUUAUUGUUUAUAAUUUUUAGUUCUUCAGUUUUUUCUAGCAACUUAAUCACAGCUUACUCCGUCAUAUAUCAUAUACCCACAAGCUGUUAUUUAAUCUCCUCCUUUUAGAAGAUGAUGAUGACGAUGAUGAUGAGGAGGAGGAGUCAACAGAAGAUGACUCGAUACUCGCCCGAGUCAUGACUCGGAGCUGUGGUAAGGCUUUUGAUGAUCGCUUCCUUGACCUAUUAUCAACCCCGAUUUCUUGCACUAGUCGGUAGCAGCUGAUGAUCUUCUCCUGAAAAAGUUAAGGGAUAUAUCGAUCGAUCUUUGAUUGUUCCCAAGUUGGCAUGAAUAUAAUUAUACAUAUAUAUAUCAUCCAAAAAUUAACCUGAAUGCAUGGGAAAUUAAAUAUAUAGCUAGAUGCUUACUUUUCGAAGUCCGUCACACCAUGAUUCAGCAUGAUCAGCAUUAAAAAGAGACAAGUUUGGAAUGUCGUUGGCUGCGCAAAGAAUCGUGGCAGCGGCUAUGCAUGAUGGCCAAUACUCCAGAAAACUAGCCUCUGUAUAUACACGCAUACAUGCAUGUUCAUAUGUCAUUUAGCAUUACAUUGAACGGCAUAUAUAUACCUACAUGUCUAUGCACAAUGCAUGCAUGUUAUGUUGUACGUUCGUAUGUAUCAUGUGAUAAUUAAUUACCUUGAAUAUUUGACAGAAUAAUUUCAGUGGCUCUUGAGAUAAGGAAGGUUGCAUAAAUUCCUUCAGAAUCAAGUUUGUAAGCAAAGAAGCUGAGAAAGCUAAAUGGUGUAAUGGAUCUUAGCCUCCAUUCCAGUAUACCAAGUACAAGAAACUCCAUCCGUCGG
RNAcentral lists this long non-coding RNA (2788 nucleotides) under Panax ginseng (ginseng). RNAcentral describes it as "long non-coding RNA (PGIN_LNC018746)". The record is from RNAcentral. Lineage: Eukaryota; Viridiplantae; Streptophyta; Magnoliopsida; Apiales; Araliaceae.